CGGGGUAUAGCGCAGUUUGGUAGCGCGCCUGCUUUGGGAGCAGGAGAUCGUGGGUUCAAAUCCCGCUGCCCCGA
RNAcentral lists this transfer RNA (74 nucleotides) under Actinomyces sp. oral taxon 448 str. F0400. It matches the Rfam family "tRNA". Rfam says of the family: Transfer RNA (tRNA) molecules are approximately 80 nucleotides in length. Their secondary structure includes four short double-helical elements and three loops (D, anti-codon, and T loops). Lineage: Bacteria; Bacillati; Actinomycetota; Actinomycetes; Actinomycetales; Actinomycetaceae. The record is from Rfam by way of RNAcentral.